RNAcentral lists this ribosomal RNA (1035 nucleotides) under uncultured bacterium. RNAcentral describes it as "bacterial SSU rRNA". It matches the Rfam family "Bacterial small subunit ribosomal RNA", at positions 146 to 1210 of the family's 1533-position model. The record is from RNAcentral.
GCUGGGGGAAACUCCAGGUAAUACUCGAUAAGCUCUACGGAGGAAAGCUCCGGCGCCUUGGGAGCGGCGAUACUCCUAUCAGGUAGUUGGUGGGGUAAAGGCCUACCAAGCCAAAGACGGGUAGCGGGUGUGAGAGCAUGACCCGCAGCAUCGGGACUGAGACACUGCCCGGACUCCUACGGGAGGCUGCAGUAACGAAUCUUCCGCAAUGCGCGAAAGCGUGACGGAGCAAUGCCGCGUGUGGGAUGAAGCGGUUUCGCCGCGUAAACCACUGUCAGGUCCUAGGAAGAACUGACCGGGACCAGAGGAAGGGCCGGCUAAUCUCGUGCCAGCAGCCGCGGUAAGACGAGAGGCCCGAGCGUUAAUCAGAAUCACUGGGCUUAAAGGGUGCGUAGGCGGACUUGUAAGUGUCCUGUGAAAUCCCACGGCUCAACCGUGGAAUUGCGGGGCAAACUGUAAGUCUUGAGGCAGGUAGAGGUCGUCGGAACGUUCGGUGGAGCGGUGAAAUGCGUAGAUAUCGAACGGAACGCCGAAGGAGAAGGCAGUCUGCUGGGCCUGUUCUGACGCUCAGGCACGAAAGCGUGGGGAGCAAACAUGAUUAUAUACCCUGGUAGUCCACGCCGUAAACGAUGUGCACUAGAUCGAGGUGGCUCUCACGCCUUCUCGGUCGAAGGAAAACCGUUAAGUGCACCGCCUGGGGAGUACGGUCGCAAGGCUAAAACUCAAAGAAAUUGACGGGGGCCCGCACAAGCGGUGGAGCAUGUGGUUUAAUUCGAAGCAACGCGCAGAACCUUACCAACCCUUGACAUCCCUGUCGCGGAUACCGGAGACGGUUUCCUUCAGUUCGGCUGGACAGGUGACAGGUGCUGCAUGGCUGUCGUCAGCUCGUGUCGUGAGAUGUUCGGUUAAGUCCGGCAACGAGCGCAACCCACAUCCCUAGAUGCCAGCAGUUCGGCUGGGCACUCUAUGGAAACUGCCCGUGAUAAGCGGGAGGAAGGUGUGGAUGACGUCAAGUCCUCAUGGCCCUUACGGGUU